Molecule: ribosomal RNA, 254 nt
Filed under: uncultured bacterium
Lineage: Bacteria
Description: partial 16S ribosomal RNA
Rfam family: Bacterial small subunit ribosomal RNA
Source: RNAcentral
UACAGAGGUCCCAAGCGUUGUUCGGAUUUACUGGGCGUAAAGGGCGCGUAGGCGGCCAGCACAAGUCAGUUGUGAAAUCUCCGAGCUUAACUCGGAAAGGUCAACUGAUACUGUGCGGCUAGAGUGCAGAAGGGGCAACUGGAAUUCUUGGUGUAGCGGUGAAAUGCGUAGAUAUCAAGAGGAACACCUGCGGCGAAGGCGGGUUGCUGGGCUGACACUGACGCUGAGGCGCGAAAGCUAGGGGAGCGAACGGG